UGCUACCCUGUCAGAAGGAAUUUUAAGGCAC
RNAcentral lists this non-coding RNA (31 nucleotides) under Rattus norvegicus (Norway rat). Lineage: Eukaryota; Metazoa; Chordata; Mammalia; Rodentia; Muridae. The record is from RNAcentral.